RNAcentral lists this long non-coding RNA (3644 nucleotides) under Sus scrofa (pig). Its description in RNAcentral is "lncRNA (ENSSSCG00030051950.1)". The record is from RNAcentral. Lineage: Eukaryota; Metazoa; Chordata; Mammalia; Artiodactyla; Suidae.
GAGCUGACAAAAUCAGGUAUAUUUACGAUGAUUGCUUUGGCAGCCAGGUGAGAGGUGGCUUGGAGCUGGGCACCACGGGGUGAGGGAGGCCUGCUUGAAGCAAGAGUCCACAAAAGACACGAUCUGAGUCUGAACUCAAGUAAUGACCCUGAAGAUGGAAAGUAGGGCAAAGUCCUGGUUCUUCAAAGUCAAAGAACCAACCACGCUGGGUGACUUAGAACAGCAGGGAUGAGGGGAAAGCUUCCGGAUUGAGAGGCUGAUGGGGUGAUGCCAACACUCACAGAGGCAGAGAACACAGAAAGAGAAGGGGGCGGGGUGAUGGGAGGCUGUGGGUCUGGACUGGGUAAAUGUGAGGUAACCCUAGGACACCCCCAGUGGAAAUGUCCAGUAAAUGGCUGCAAAGAUGCUUCCAAAUUUCAGAAGACAUGUCUAGAGAUAGAAACACAGAUAUAGAUGUAAUUAGCAGAGAGAGGAUCAUUAAAGCCUUGGAGUGGAUGAGCUCUCCUAGAGAGUCACGUAGAAAAGCAAAGAGGAGAAUAGACAUGGAAACACCAAACGGAAGAGCUGGACAGAAGAACCAGAAAGAGUGUCAAAGGCAUCGGAGGGGAGAUCAGCGGCCAGCAAUGGAAGACUGGCCUUCAUCAUGGCCUCAUCACUAUCUACCAUGACACUUCAUAUUUAUUUCCAUAGUAAUUUACUGCCUGCCUCCUCCACUAGAAUAUACUAUACUUCUCUACCUCCAGAACCUAGAAGGGUGCCCUCAGCACAUAGUAGGACUCAAGAAGCAUUUGUCAAGUGGGCGAAUGAUUAGAGAAAGGAAUGCAUGCCAAGGCAGGAAACUGUUUCAAAGUAUGGGAUUUGUCAACAUGGGCAACUGCUGCAAAGACUCAAGAAAAUAGGUCAUUAGUUUUGAAAAUUAGGUCGUUGGUAACCUUAGCAAGAGUCCUUUUAAUAAUGUGUUGGUAUAAAAGCUAAAUUGUUACAGCUUCAAAGAAAACAGGGGUGAGGUCACUCUUUGCAAGGGAAGAGAAGGCAAUGUCAAGAGGUUAAUUUGGGAGAGGAGAGAUGGAAGCAAUCUGAGAUCAUGGGUGGACUUAGAUGAAUCAGCCAGAGGAAAGAAAGUGGAGCUAAAGAAGAAGAAAAGCAUGGAACAAGGCAGUGAAAAGGGCAGAAGGCAUUAGAGAGACCAGCAUACAAGAGGUUGUCUUAGUUCACUAUAUUCCAGCUGCUAUAGUAAAAUGCCAUAACAGAGGUGGCUUACAGACAACAGAGAUUUAUUUUGCACAGUUAUGAGGUCUAGGAAGUUUCAGAUUAAAGCACCAGCAGGUUCAGUAUCUGAGGAGAGCCCGCUUUCUGGUUCACCGAUGAUACCUUCUAGCUACUACCUGUACAAUCUGCAUAAGGCGAGGAGUAGCUUAUUUUGAAGGAGAUUCCAUGGGGAAAUCAAAAGUGGCCAAUUAGGGGGGAGCAAGGAGAUUUCAAGACGCACUGAAGACCUAACCAAAACUGGAAACCAUAAGUCCAUGGUGGUGUCCAGGAGCAUGGUUAUGGAGCUGAGAGCCCCAGAGCAGAAGCAAGGAAAAAAGUCAGGUUCACCAUGCAUCCAUGGCGUGGUGUAAUGAAAACUACCUUGGAAGAAAGCCUACCCUCCUUCUCUACCAGUAAGAACAGGCAGUCCCUGCUUAAGCCCUAUGGCCCCCUCCACAUUGCCAGAUCCUGAGCAUGUAAUCACACCUCUAUGAGCUUCUUACCCACAACUGUGGAUCGUAAUAUUGUUCUAGUCUUACCAAAUGUGGUGAGGCCCAAAUAGGAAAACAUAUUUGAAUGACUUUUGCCAACUCCUAAGCACUACGGAGGUUCCCCGCCUUGCUGUUUCCCCAAACAAGCCUUGUGCCAUCUUUUCAAGUAACAUGGAGCAAGGACAUCCUAAACGCCUCCUAGGCACCUGGCAUCCUCCUCUCCAACUAUGCCCCUGGCCCCAUGGGAGUGACAUUUUGGACCUGCAGAAUAAGAACAAUUUACAUAGGAGACCCUAAACUCAUUCAGUCUCUAUUUCAAUUACUUCCCCAUGAAAAGAACUUCUGCCAACUCUCAUGCCUUAGAGAUGGAACCAAGGAGAGAGAAAUUUGCUUUUGUUAGCAGACUCCAUAAUUACAUGGAGAUAUGUCCACCUGGGUAAUAGCACAUGGGAUUUUUUUUUUAACUUUUUAUAUAAAUAUUUCAGUUUCUUACCUUGCUAGAUUGACUUUUUCUCAAUAUUAAUUGCCUCCAUAGUCUUAAUCUAUAGCAACAUUUCUAACCGGUGUCCCUGUACAUUUUUCUUUCUCAGGAGGCUGCUACUGGACGACUUAAUUUAAAUUUUUUAAUACCAUGAAUAAAUAGUAUCUGGCUUUGCUCAAGGGGGGUAAGUGAGUCUCUAAAGGGUGAGUGUCAGCUCUUCGACAGUUUACGGAAAGAGGCUACUUACUGAAUUUCAGUCUGGCCCACAUGUUUCAUAAAUAGGAAAAUCCACAUCUCCUUUAACCAAUGCUAAUUUCUAUCAUCUACGAAAUGGACAUCUAAGCCGUCACCUUAGGUGUUCCUAUCUAUAGGCACUGAGUUUAUGAAUGAGGUCCCUUGCCUAAAGGAUCAGCCCUUUACAUAACGAGGCUCCUCCUGUUGGUCACAGAUCCCAGACAACCGGGUCACCUGGGACAUUAAGUUGCAGCCAUAAAUUAUUCCGUUUUGCAUCCCUAGAGCAGCUGCUCUGGUCACACAGCCCAUCUCUCUCUCCUGUGCCAAGAGAGAGGGUGAUCUUAGGCCCCCCUCACUUUUCAAAUAAGCCCUAACUCCUCCCAUGGCCGAGCACGUGUUCUGUUCCCUGGAUAGCCCCAUUUUUACUGCUGAAACUCAAGAAGCUAUUAAAGUCUCCUCAACCUGGCAGAGCCCCAGGACCAGAUGGUGUUCUCCCAGUUCUUAUAAAGCCUUUAUUAACAAAAUGACACCAAGCCUCACUGGCCUCCAUAAUGACUGCUUUUUCCCACCCACGGAAGACCCUCGAUGGCGAGGACGACCUGUUGAUUGCUAUGCUUGCCGUCACUGUCAGAACACCUCUGGACCUCCGCAUGGCUCUGAAUCUUCACUCGAACCCUUGCAGGGCCCUGAUGAGAACAGCUCCCUCUCCCCCUCCCCGACCCCCCCCCCAAAAGGGAAGAAAGCCAAAGCAAGCUAAUGAGAAGCAUAAACAGCAGACUACAGAGGGGGGUUUGCUAGAAACUCACCACCCCUCUUCUGGGAUUUUGAAGAGUCUGGCAAUGAUGAAGCUUUUGGCAGCCCCCCCUCAGGAAGAGGCAGAGCUGUUAAUUGCUAAUCUGGCCUCAUGGGAUUUGCAUGGAGGACUGGCUUUCAGUCCGGUGUAGGUUUUCAUCUUGUGUGGCGGCUCCAUCAGGGUGCCCAGAAGAGCCGGGGGAGUCAGUAAGGGAAGACGGAAUUUCUCACCUCCAGGUCAGUAGUGCAGAUGUGAAAGGCCACGGAAAGCCCUUAUCUUCGGGUGGACUCUGGGAAGGUGCUCAGGCACCAUCAGCUGCCAUACGUGAUGCUCAAGUGACAAACACUCACGGCACAGCAUCUCAGGGAAGCGCUUGGAAACUCAUGCUCUCUGAAGU